AGCGAACGCUGGCGGCAGGCCUAACACAUGCAAGUCGAACGAACUCUUCGGAGUUAGUGGCGGACGGGUGAGUAACACGUCGGAACGUGCCUUUUGGUUCGGAAUAACUCAGGGAAACUUGUGCUAAUACCGAAUGUGCCCUUCGGGGGAAAGAUUUAUCGCCAUUAGAGCGGCCCGCGUCUGAUUAGCUAGUUGGUGAGGUAACGGCUCACCAAGGCGACGAUCAGUAGCUGGUCUGAGAGGAUGACCAGCCACACUGGGACUGAGACACGGCCCAGACUCCUACGGGAGGCAGCAGUGGGGAAUCUUGCGCAAUGGGCGAAAGCCUGACGCAGCCAUGCCGCGUGAAUGAUGAAGGUCUUAGGAUUGUAAAAUUCUUUCACCGGGGACGAUAAUGACGGUACCCGGAGAAGAAGCCCCGGCUAACUUCGUG
RNAcentral lists this ribosomal RNA (433 nucleotides) under uncultured bacterium. Its description in RNAcentral is "partial 16S ribosomal RNA". It matches the Rfam family "Bacterial small subunit ribosomal RNA", at positions 29 to 507 of the family's 1533-position model. The record is from RNAcentral.